Molecule: ribosomal RNA, 497 nt
Filed under: uncultured bacterium
Lineage: Bacteria
Description: partial 16S ribosomal RNA
Rfam family: Bacterial small subunit ribosomal RNA
Source: RNAcentral
GAUGAACGCUGGCGGCGUGCCUAAUACAUGCAAGUCGAGCGAACGGACGAGAAGCUUGCUUCUCUGAUGUUCGCGGCGGACGGGUGAGUAACACGUGGAUAACCUACCUAUAAGACUGGGAUAACUUCGGGAAACCGUAGCUAAUACCGGAUAAUAUUUUGAACCGCAUGGUUCAAAAGUGACAGACGGUCUUGCUGUCACUUAUAGAUGGAUCCGCGCUGCAUUAGCUAGUUGGCAAGGUAACGGCUUACCAAGGCAACGAUGCAUAGCCGACCUGAGAGGGUGAUCGGCCACACUGGAACUGAGACACGGUCCAGACUCCUACGGGAGGCAGCAGUAGGGAAUCUUCCGCAAUGGGCGGAAGCCUGACGGAGCAACGCCGCGUGAGUGAUGAAGGUCUUCGGAUCGUAAAACUCUGUUAUUAGGGAAGAACAUAUGUGUAAGUAACUGUGCACAUCUUGACGGUACCUAAUCAGAAAGCCACGGCUAACUACGUG